GUGGACUAGCAUUGUACCCUUCCCUUCAUUUCUGAUCUCUCUGCAGGACCCUGGGACUUGUCUCCACUUCCUCUGUAAUGUUUCCCUUCUCUGGUUUGCUCAUCUCACUCUCAAGGAGUGCCUACUCUUUUGGGUACCUGGGUUCUGCCUGUACAAGCCCACUGCUAGGGGAAGAUGUACCCCAAAUACUUUAACAACAUGGCAGAGUGUGGCAAACAAGGCAAGAAACUAAUAUCCACCAGGCUCUGUAUCACCUUAGUGGUUUCCUGGUAACAGAGCAAGGACCAGCGUGGUACUGGUUUAUGGCUGGAUUAGGUCCCAGGCAGGAUGCAGAGGAUGAGGAGAAUGGUGGGGACUCCAGUAAAGGUAAGAGGAAAAGGACGCUCCUUUGUACUGAGAUCAUGACCUCCUACUUUUUCUGUGUUAAAAUGGCCUUUCUUCUGUAGUAUUAAGGCCAUAGUCUGAUUUUUUUUUUUUGGCAAUCCUAGAUUGACUGAACUAAUUUUUUUUUUUUUUUAGUUUUACUUGUCCAGGGCAUCCCUAAGUCUGGGAAACACUGAGUUAUUUUAUUUUUGGGGGAAAGGUUGUUUAUAAUUAUACUGACAAUUCUAUGGGAACAUUAUUGUUCCCAUUGCAUAACUGAGUUCAUUGAGGUGCAGAGAGGCGGCUUCUCGAGAGCCCAUAGUGGCAAAGGUGAGUCUUGAACCUUGUUUUGACUCAUCCUAAGGCCUUCACUUUCCCCAAACCCCUACCAGACUCAUAGGCUACUCUGAGAGGCUCAGGAUGGUCCAUGGUGAUGGGCCUGGCAGAAGAUAUUGAGAUCUGUACCAGGUAACUCAAGGGUUUGAAUGACAAGAAGGCUUAAGAAAGCCCUUUAGAGGAAUAGUGCUAACAAACGGAUUGACAGCCUUGGUCAAACCCUUACGCAGAACAUAAACUGGAUCUGUCCAUGAGAUGUGGACCUGCCCUCCUCCUCAGCCUCCCACCCAGUGGAAUAAUCAUAUCCCAGUGCUUCCCACACCAGUACAGUGAAGAGAGUAAGGAGAGAUGGAGAUAUGGAGAUAUGGAAAUAUAUGUCCUGAAUUGCUUUGCUUUGCCUUUUUUCGGCCAGUACCUUCUGGGCCUGUUCCCCAGUAAGUCCUCACUGCAACUCCCCUUAGUUCUGCCAAGCAUUCCACCUGGCCCAUCCGAUGUCUAGGGAGUCAAAUGUCUGUGUUUUGGUGAGGAAGCACUUUGAGAGUUUUGUAAAAUGAUUCUGCUGGGUUUCCUGGGUAGAGCUGGCUUGAUGCGGGAUGAGUCAUGCCAAUGUGGAAGGUUGUUUGCCUUCAUGUCAUCUUUGAGAGUGAAAUUUCUUUCUCUGGUGGCUCUCAUGGAGGACUUGGGUCAUUUGCCACAAAUCCACAGGGACAAAUUAAUAACUAAAGUGAAGCUGGGCUCUCUCAGAAUAAAAGCUUGCCCUGCUAAGUUUGCACUAUAGGAAUUAGAGGAAAGACACCACGAAGAGUAUUGAGUGGAGGAAGACAUACCCCAUGUGGGGGUGCUCGGAAAGCUCCUCAGGGCCAGGGCCCUGCCUCCUGCCUGGCCAUGGGACCCUCUGAGGCUGGAGCUCAGUAGAAGAUGGCAGGUGUCUGUCAACAGGUCCCAUCCAUGCUGCUCUCUGGAACUGUGGGUUUGAGGAGUUCUUCUGGAAUUCCAAGGAAACCCACAGGGCAAGCAGGUGCAAACUGGCCUUGCUCAUAAUUGGAGAAUUGGAGGCUGGAAGCAGAAAAGUGGUCAACUGAAGCAAAACCCAACCUCCCUUACCUCUAACAUGGAAAUGGCACUUAAUACCUUCCUCAUAGGGGUUGUGGUGAAAUUUAGGGAAUAUACAUUAAUAAAGUUAAUUAAAUAUAUUUACUAUUGAUUAGUGAAUAUACAAAAUGAAUAUAUAAGGUAUAUGAAUAUAUAAAAUAUCACUUGUUCAUUAGUAUUUAAUAUAGUACAUGGAAAGUAUUCAAUUAUAAUGGCUAUCGACUGCUAUUAUUUCUUUUUUGGUGGGGGACAGUGGUGUCUUUAUUGGCCAGGUGGCUACUUGAGGGGUAUGAAGUAUGAAGAUGGGUGGCCCUGAUGCCAGGCUGACCAUGCUUCAGGGUGAUAGAGAACUCACCUAGGUGGUGGCCGAUCAUCUCAGGCUUGAUCUUCAAUGGACUGAAGGUCUUGCCAUUGUAGACACCACCAUGCUGCCACCAUCUCGGGCAGGAUGAUCAUAUCCUGAAGGUGUGUCUUCACCACUCUGACUUCUCUAUGGGUGAUACUUCCUUCUUGGCCUUAUGUAGGGGUUUCAACAGUGAGUGCUGCUUCCACUGCAGGCCACAGUUCAGCUGUCCCACUGCCGUGCACUGUAGAGCUGUAUUAGCUGUUCAUAGAACAUGUCCAGCAGCUGAUCAAGGUCCAUGCUGUGGUAGGUAAACUUGUGGAAGCUUUGCUGCUCCUUCUGUUCCACUUCCACCACCUCAUCAGCUCUUUGGAAAAACUGACUGCUAUAAUUUCUAAGGUUACAUAACUAGUAACAGGCAGAUGGCUUGAACCCAACACCACUUUAUUUCCUCAGUCCACCAAGUUCAUAAGUUAACAGUGCUUGAGCACUUAGUUGGUGCCACACAGUGUGCUACUCCUUUAUGAGGAUUAUCUGACUUAAUCCUCAGAGCAACACUUUGAGGAAGGUGUAUGUAUCAUUCACCUUUUAUGCAUGAGAAAACCAUGGUGCAGAGAGGUUAUAUGGCUGCUCACAGCAGCAAGUGCAAGGCAGAAUUGACCUCCCAACUCAUGCUUCUUAAUCCCCAAGGUGAAUGUGUAUGAGGAGGUUGUCUGUGUGGCAGCACCUCUCUAUACGCCUCUGGCUCACACGUGAUGCACAUUGGCCCCAAGCCCUACAUUUUUAGAACCUUAUGUGCUCUCAGGAUGACUCCAGCUCCUCACCCAUGCCUUUGUAACAUCCCAGGCUCCUCAUGGGUUUCAGUGUUCCUGUGUUUAAAAAGGACAUAAUCAGGUGGCAUCUGCAACACAGCCCACCCUCAACCCAGCAUUCCAGAACUAGUGGCUUCCACGAGUCCAGCCUCAUAUCACUUGUUUUUGGUUUCAUUUAUCAGAAAUGACUGGUGACAAACUGUCCUCCCUUUGCUCCUCUGUGAAAUAGGGUUUUGUGAGGAGUGGGAAAGCAGUGAGCACCUAGCACACAGAAGGGAGAAAGUAAUGGCAUCGGCAUUUUGCAGUCAGACACGAGAGAAGAGGGACUUGUUAAAAGCAGCCACUGGUCUAUUGGGUCUCUUUAACAGAAGGCUCUCAUUCCAAGUCUUCACCUUGGACACCCAGGUGUCACUUAAAAAGAAGUUCACUUUUAGAAGUGGAAAGCCUUUCUGUGGGGGCUUACAAGAGAAGUCAUUGAGGAAUGCAACUAGGAUUCUGGUUGUCAAAGAUGUGUCCAUCACAAAGGUUCACACAUAGGUCCCUAUUUCUGUCACUCACUUGUGGGAUCAUGGGUGUGCCUGUAUGUGUGCACUAGGUUGUAAAACACUUUGGAGCCUGUUAGGAAGAGAUCCACCCUCUGGGCGAAAGUGCCUGUAGCACUCUUGUGAGUGGAUAAACAGUUGGAUGGAAGCCCCCCCGCUUGUGUGCCCUCACAGGGCUGUGCGUCUUCACAGGUACCUAUGCCAUCCCUACCCCAGGUAGGUAAGGGACCUGUAGCCGAGGUCUGCUAAUCUCACAGUGAAGUGUGGGCACCUCAGCCAGUCUCCAGGGGAUGCCAGCAGUACUUGCUUUCCAAGAGUCAUUUCUGCAAAACACACAGCUUCGCUUUGCUUGCUCAGCUACCAUCUUGAAGAUAAUCUGUUCUGUUCUGUGCCUCUUCACAACCCAUCUGGGCCCAGUGAGCAUACUUGUUGGUUUGACUCCAGAGAACAAUUUUAUCCCUUCAGCUGGAUACUCGGUUGUGCUAGAAAACAAGCCUUUCCCUUUACAGAGCUCCUCAUGUGAUCCUCACAGCAGGCCUGGGGAUUAAACAGUGAGUAAGCAAUGCCUCCAUUUCACAGAAGAAGAAAUUGAUGCUAAGAGAAGAACCUCAGGUAAAGAAACCUUGUAUGUAGAGUCUGUCACCUGGUCUUGAUGGUUCCAAAGUUAUUUCAGUUUCUGAUUAAUUCUCUGGGAAGUGGGCACAUUCAUGAGCUCAUGAUCUCUCAGGCUUUGCUUGUCUUCCACUGUUCUCUCCAAAACAAACCCCCAUCCUGACCAACAUGUACUCAUAACAGCAGAACUUCAACUGCUGUUUUGAUUUUGUCAUUGUCCCAAAUAAAAUAGCCUUCCAAUGGACCACAGCACUUUUGGAACUUGUUGCAUAAACUUGACCAGAAUUUGUUGCUAUUGUCGCCCUUGUUGCAAUCAUUGCCAUAGUUGGCAUUCACUAAACCUACUCCUAAAGCUGAGCCUCCAUCCAGACCUGCUGAACCCUUCUCUUUAGAAAGUGUCUUCAAAGACUGGGCUCCUUUGAAAGACUAUUGAUGAUAACUCUUCAUCCCAAUUUUCAUUAUGACAGAUAGCUUGCCGUGCUAUACCCAGAAUGUUGGAAUUAAUACAUUAAUUGAUGAAUCCCUUGAGGGUGGUAUUUGAAUUGUUGGGGACUGGGUCACAACACAAACUAGCUUAAGCAAAAACUGAAUUUCUUGGUUCACACAGCUGCAAAGUACAUGUAUGAGGUCAUCAGGCACAGAUGAGCCCAGAGGCUCCAGGUCUUACUUCGGCUCUGAUUUCCUCUCCUGUCACCUCUCCUUUUACACAGUGUUAGCUCCAUUCUCAGAGAGUCUUUCCCCUUGGUGGUCAAUUGGCUAAGAGUAAUUUGGGCUAAUUUGAGGUGGUUCUUACAGCUAGUUCACAAACUUAGACGAAGAUGAGUCUUCUCUCUACCCCCAAGGCAAAUGUCAUGGAAGGACUGGUAUUGGUCCAGGUUAGGUAGCAUGCCCUCCAUGUAGACCAAUCACUGUGGACUGCGGUUGGCCAGGCCUGGGCCAUCUGCGCAUCCGAGUGGCCUGAGUACAGGGGAGGUAUGCAAUUGGCAGCUUUUCCUGGAGCUCCACUGGAUGAGUGUAGGGAACAGGGAAAGGGGAGGGGAUGUUACUAGAACCUCUGCAGUAAGUCCUAGUCUCCUGCGAGCCACAGCAGCACAAGGCAAAUUAACUUAUUAUACAGGAAAGGUAGAAAAAUGAGACUGAGAAGAAGCUGAGCUUUGGGUCUGAUCAGUGCUGCUCUGGGCAGCAAAGACGAAAGCCCGCAGUUUACUGCACCUUUUAUUCAGUACAUCAGGAGAAACAGAUGUAAC
Molecule: long non-coding RNA, 5347 nt
Organism: Heterocephalus glaber (naked mole-rat)
Lineage: Eukaryota; Metazoa; Chordata; Mammalia; Rodentia; Bathyergidae
Source: Ensembl